CACGUCAUCUCUCACUGCGGCCAUUUUACAUUCUGCAGUUUUAAGCGACGGACGUGUUGUUGGCGUGUCUAAACCCAUACAGUUUAGUGAAGUGAUUUUUGAACGUUUGAAAGAACUGCAGCCAUUAUUCGAGCAAAUUGGACGAAAUUGAGAAAGUAUGGGGACGCCUUAUUCGUGCCAUGGAGGAAAAGGACUGCUGAUGCUCAGGUUUGAUAAGUUUUGGUGAGCCAUAAAUUUUCAGAAAUUGGAUUUUCCAUAUUUCGGGCGCAUUGCGAAAGAUAAAGGUAAAUUUCAUUCUUUCUUUCUGCGUUAUAUUAUUAUUUUUAUUGCGCAUGUCUGUAACGGUGCCUUGGUAUUGAUCUUAUUAUCAGCAAGGGUCAAAAUAUUUUAUAAAUCCAGUUUUGAAUUCUAUUUUCUCAAAAUUUAUGGCUCUUAGUUACCUUCACUUAAAUCAACGUUUAAACAAAUGUGAUAUUUUAAAAUAUUUUAUAUUAUAUUCAAUUAUAUUCUGUGAUAAUGAUUUUCUGUAAUUUUAAUUGGUAAUGUAAAUAUUGUAAAUAACUUUUAAAUUAUUUAAUAAAAAAUAUAUCUAGAAUUUUAUUAAUUAAGUAUCAAAUAUAUUCCCCCUCAUCCAGUUUUUAAUAUUAUUUUGAUUUUACAUGUUGAAGAGGUUACAAUGGAGGUGGGCUCAACCUCCUGUUGAUCGGUAAUCCCAUGAACCCAAAAUUUCAUCAAGUUAUGAGGAACUGAUGGAAAAUGCGGUUAUCGAGGUACAAGGUUUCUUGGCUAUAGGCAACUACAUACGCAUUGGCUGACUACACGGAGAUGUUCGUUGGGGCUGGUUUAGUUUCAAAGGCCUGUAGCUAUCUACAUGGGACAGUAAUGUGAGAGAGAGAGAGGUUGGCAGAACAUACAAUUGCCGACUGAAAAUCAAGGACCACGUAGAUAACCUGAAUUUUUUUUACUUAAUCCCACAACUGAGGAACAUAAACGUAAUGCUGCUGAAUAUCCCUGAAGAAAUACAUCUACCAAGUAGGGAUUCGCAAUUACUAUUAUUUGCUGAAGAAUCUAUUCCGCCCCCUAAUCUGGUGUUCUUUCCGAUAAGGAAUUGGUUGGAGUUCUGAACCAUUGUCCUAUCGUACGAAGACGAGGAAAUCAUCUUCUGUGCACGCUGCUAAUAAAUCCAUUUUUCUCAAUUUCAAGAUUCGGCAUAUAACGUUAACUGAAAAUUAUUUGAAACCAUCCAAACCUGAGAAAUGAAGAAAUGGGAAAUUCGUAGUAACCUACUCUCGCCUAUCCCUAAAGGAGCUCGUAUUUGAAAAAAUUCUUCUGCAUCAAGGAAGCUGUAUAAUUCAUUAUUCAAAGCAACUUUGGGUUCUUGAAACACCUAAAAUAUAUUCACUUUCAAUUUAUGCUGAUCGUAUUAUUUACAACAAUUUAUUUUUAGAUUGGAUGUUUUGCUGUUCUAUUCAAACAAAUUCUAUUUAUUCCUAUUGAAGUAAAUAAUAUGCCCCUUUCAUUCUCGAACCCAACGUCAGAUGUUGAUGGUUUGAGGUGGACAAAAUUCCGAGGGAUUUCAUUAUUUUUUUGUUGGAAUAUAAUAGUCGUUUGUAACAUUAACUUCGCCAAAUUUUAGAAGGCUAGCCUGCGUUAAAUCUGCUUCCCUGGAUUGAUUCGAGAGAUGUCUAAUCGUUUCAGAGUUGAAAAGAAGUUGGAAAUACAUAACAUUCCCAUCAAUCAAGUUUAGAGAAUUCUUAAAGGAAUAUUUCUUUGGAGCUGAGAGAUAGAUAUAAAGGGCUCUUUACGUUAUCAAGUGUCCGAAAAAAAUUAGUAUUUCAGAAAUCUUCAUUUUUAUGAUUGAUUACUAUUCAAGCAUCAGGUAACAAUUCCUCCAGUCCAUCGAGUUUUAGGAUAUCUGGAAUAUAUUGAACGUUUCUGCAAAUGAACACUUGAUAAAGGAAUAACAUUAAUCGAAACAAUUAUAAUUAUUUUAAACAUGGAAUCUUCAAGCUGUUCACAACUUGGGUGAUAGUAUCAGAUUUAUUUGUUUAUAAUCUUACCUCAGUGUCUUCCUAUGCUACACUACUUUUUCAGAAAGAUGUAUUCAUGACUUUUACAAGGUCAAUUCAUAUAGAAGUCGCUUCAUUACCGAAAACUCAUCAACAAAUGCAAAAACAACUGAAUCGUGUGCACAUUUACGCUAUAGAGAAAUUCGGAAAUUUCGAAAAUGGAACAAUUACCAUAGUUUAUUCCAAUCACGACAUAGGACAAGAAUCUCAAGUGAAAUAUACAUAUGACCAUUUGGUGAGUACCUUGAUCUUGGUGCAUCGCCAUUGCAGAUACAGCCGUACAAAGAAUACCUACUUGUUGAGAUCUGUUCAAUUCUUGGAAAGAGACUGAAAAUAAUACAUGUGCUUAUGGAAUGGAUUCAUUUGAGGCCCUUUUCCCUAUGUGUUUGAACUAACCGCGAGCUUUGUGGGAGAAUGAGGUAGUUUUGGUUUUCUCUUUUGGGUAUAAUAUUUUUUCUAGAUUGUGCAUGCACAGGCUUGAAUAAGGAACAAUUUGUUGGAAGGAAGUGAGCAAGAAUAAUACACAUGCUGAAUGAACAAGUAGUAUGCUGAUAGUUCUGAUGAGAAAUUAUCUCGAUAUAGCACUGGAUGUGACUGACAUUGGUAUGAAUUUGCUCUAUUGCAAGUAAUUUUUGAAUGAAUACCUGUUUCCUUACGCUUUCGGUGUUUACCUUCUAAACCUUGAUUAAUUGCAUGCAUAUCAAUGUUGCCCGAGAUCAUGGAAAGGUUUUUGGAAAGGAAUUAAUUGCAAUACUGCCUUGUCUGUUGGUGUAAGUAGUGGAAAGUAUAUUAUAGUUGUACAACACUCAACCCUAGUAUGGAAUUUUGUUCCAUUAAUAUAACGGAAUUUUAGAAUGAAUGUGCUGUCAUUGAUUGUAUAAAUACGUAAAGAAGGAACUGAUAAAGAAUUAUCAAUUUUGUCGAUAGUCAAUUUGAGACACUCGAGAUAAUAAUAGAAACAUAUGAUGAACCAUUGAUUGAUUAGCGGAAAAUCACUUCCGAUUGUUUAAAGUAUAUUUCAGGCUGGAUUAUGUUUUUAUUCACCUCCGCUUUGAACUGUAGCUUGAAGCAUUCACUGUUCCCAAUGUAUGAGAUGAAAAGUUACCCCAUUAGACUUGGUUAAAUGUCUUUUCAUCAACCAAAAAUUGUUUCAUUUCUAAAAGAAAUAAAUGUUUGGAGUGUUCACGGCCAUUCGAAAUAUUGAGAGUUGGGACUACUGUAAGUACCUUGUUCUUAACUAGGUAAUUGGACCCUUUUAGAAUUCAUUGGAGUGACUUUACACUCGGCCUGUUCUAUGAUGAUGUAGCCAUUAAUCGUGAAGCCUGUAAAUGAAAAUCCAAUUACCGCUUUAGAGGAAAUCAUUACAGCAAACAGAAAGGAAGGGAAAUUGCUGAUAAUAGGAUCAAAGUUAUUAUAUUACCACAGGUAAAAUCUAGUUACCGUUACUUAAAAAAUGUUGUGCAAUGUUCAAGAAACAUAUUGGAAGUGGACGUGUCUAUCUUUCGUCGCUUCGGAUUAAAACUUUUUUGUAGGGAAAUCCUUUGAACACUAAAAACAGGAUAAUAUGAAUGUAGAGAUCAGCCAAGGAUACCUCUAACUAUUGAAAUGAAGAAACCGACAAAAUAGAUAUUGUCUGAAAUUUGGAUAGAUAAAUCUGAUUUUAUUAGAUAUCUUUCUUCUUAAUGAGAGUGUGUUAAUAUAAAAGGAGUAUUGAUAUUAUCGUUCGUGAGUACCGUUGUUAUAUCUCGCAAAACCCAAUAUUCUUCUAGAAAUACCACAAAUAUUUUUAUCCAUGUGGCAAUUUGAGAAAUUCGAAAAAUUUAAUAGACAGAGAAUUCCUACCAUUCUGAAAUAGAUGUAAAGACCUUCGAAGAAAUUGAGCCUUAUCAGCGUUUCGAGAUAUUGUUUGAUCCAAAUUCAGGUAACAACAAGGUAUCCUUCAAUUUUCCUUCUAAUAAUUGUUUCAGGUUAACCUGUCCUGUUUUAAUCACAUCACAAACAGCUAAAAAAGUGAAGCUAUAUUUGCUCAAAAUAUUUUGAAACAAACUGAAAUGCAACAUGUAUUUGUGAGGAGAUAAAUAUUAAUUGCUUCGGUUUAAACUUUGAACCCUUGAACAGUUAUGACAUAGAAAUGAAUGUAGAAGUCUCGCUGAGCAUAACUUUUAAGGAACCACCAAAAUUAUCUGAACUUUUCGAUAGAUUAAUGUCAUUUCUAGAUAUCUUGCCUUAAGCUGUUAAUGAAUAGGAGUGGAGUCUUCAUGUAAAAGGAGUAGUGAUAUUUCUAUUCGUGAGUACCCGUUUCAUAUCUUGAAAACCCCAAUUUUCUUCUAGAAAUACAGCAUAAAUUGGAAUCUAGGCUGCAAAACAAGAGUUAUGCUAGUACCAAUGUAGAAAAAUUUACUUGGAAAUUAUUGGCCUCUCGAUCUUUGAUUAUUUGUAGAUCCAUGUUAGUUAUUCGCCUUUUCUGAUUUGUUUUCCAAAUAUAAAUAGUUGUUUAACCCCUUAUUCACCGAAAAGUGGACAACAGCUGUUCGAUACGAUGGGAAGAACAAGGUAACGUUUCAGUUUUCCUUCUAAUAAUUGUUUCAGAUUAACCUACCUUUGAGUUUUUUUCCCACAUCACUAAUAUCUGAAAAAGUGGAUGAACUACCAAGCACUUUGGUCUAAAUAAUUUGAAGAAAACUGAAAAGGAACAAAUAACUUGUGAGGCCUAUUAUUUGUGUUGUAGUUUUCUUUUUUGCUCGAUUGUUAUCUCAAAUUUGAUAUUUUUUUGAAAUUCUACUCUAAUUAUUUUUUUACAUCUUAACUCUAAAAGAACAGGCGAUGGUGCCUGAAUUUUUUCGAAAUAUCUUUCUUGAUUUUUAGUUGUGGUUUGCUCCAUAUUAUAAACUUGUUUCUAAUAUAUCGAAGAUCAGAACAAAAACCCUUGGAAUUGGAUCGAAAGCUCUUGAUUGAGGUGAAUCAUUAUAAUUCCCUAUCAAAACAAUAUUAUCGCGCAUGCAAUAAUAAUUUAAAAAAAAAUUGAGUCACUCAAGAUUAUUGCAGGAAGAAUAACUGUAAGUACCUUGAUUUUAUUCUGCAUAAUCAGAUUAUUCUAGAAUUGGUUAUUGGAAUUUCUCUGCCUGUGUUUUAUCGAUUAUUAUCAAGAGGUGUUUAUUGAGUCAUCUAAAUCGGAAACCCAGAUAUCCCCUCAUAGAGAAGAAAAAAAUGGAUGGUAUGUGCAUGUACAUUAAUCUUAUGUAGAAAGUAUCGAGAUUGAAUAAGGUGAAGUCUCCAUAGAUAAUUUGAUUUGAUUCUUGAACAUUCGAACUGAAAAAAGUUAUAUGCUCCCCCUGUAUCCCCUUUAUCACAUAUUUUUUAGUGUAUUUCGUAAUAGAUAUCAUUACUGCAGUAUUAACAAUUAAGGAGUUUAUAAUAUCCACGCAUUACUUGAUGAUUCUAAAUUUGAAACCAAAAUCAAUACGACCUCAAGGGUCAUAGUGGUACGUUGAAGUUGAAAAAAAAACUUUGGAGAGUAGGGGACUGCUUGUUUUCAGUCCAGGGAGAAAAUUCUGCUUUCAUAGUUGGAAUAUUGAACAUCUAUUUUAGUCGAGUAAGGCAUCUUUAGUUUUCCUCUUAAUGCUUAUUUUCAGUCACAAGUCAAAGAUGUUCUGCUUUCAUCAAAAAAAUAAUAGGAUACGGAUUAAGACGAAAUAUUGAACAUCAACUUCGAAAAGAAAGGUAUCUUUUAGUUUUUCUUUUAAUGUUUGAUUUCAGUCACGAGGGAAAAAUAUUCUGCUUUCAUUGUUGAUUUUUCAUAGAGGAAAUACUCAAUUCACACUAGGAUGAAAUAUUGAACCUCAAACGGAACACGGAAACAAAGGUAGCCCUAAGUAUUCUUCCUAAUGUUUGAUUUCAGUCACGAGAGAAAGAUAUUCUGCUUUCAUUGUUAAUUUUUCAUAGAGGAAAUACUCGAUUCAUACUAGGAUGAAAUAUUGAACCUCAAACGGAACACUGAAACAAAGGUAGCCUUAAGUAUUCUUCCUAAUGUUUGAUUUCAGUCACGAGAGGAAGAUAUUCUGCAUUCAUUGUUAAUUUUUCAUAGAGGAAAUACUCGAUUCACACUAGGAUGAAAUAUUGAAUCCCUAACGGAAACAAAGGUAGCCUUAAGUAUUCUUCCUAAUGUUUGAUUUCAGUCACGGGAGAAAGAUAAUCUGCUUUCAUUGUUAAUAUUUCAUAGAAGAAAUACUCGAUUUACACUAGGAUGAAAUAUUGAAUCCCUAACGAAACACGGAAACAAAGGUAGCCUUAAAUUUUCUUCCUAAUGUUUGAUUUCAGUCACGAGGGAAAAAUAUUCUGCUUUCAUUGUUGAUUUUUCAUAGAGAAAAUACUCAAUUCACACCAGGAUAAAAUAUUGAACCUCAAACGGAACACGGAAACAAAGGUAGCCCUAAGUAUUCUUCCUAAUGUUUGAUUUCAGUCACGAGAGAAAGAUAUUCUGCUUUCAUUGUUAAUUUUUCAUAGAGGAAAUACUCGAUUCAUACUAGGAUGAAAUAUUGAACCUCAAACGGAACACGGAAACAAAGGUAGCUUUAAGUAUUCUUCCUAAUGUUUGAUUUCAGUCACGAGAGAAAGAUAUUCUGCUUUCAUUGUUAAUUUUUCAUAGAAGAAAUACUCAAUUCACACUAGGAUGAAAUAUUGAACCUCAAACGGAACACGGAAACAAAGGUAGCCCUAAGUAUUCUUCCUAAUGUUUGAUUUCAGUCACGAGAGAAAGAUAUUCUGCUUUCAUUGUUAAUUUUUCAUAGAGGAAAUACUCGAUUCAUACUAGGAUGAAAUAUUGAACCUCAAACGGAACACGGAAACAAAGGUAGCUUUAAGUAUUCUUCCUAAUAUUUGAUUUCAGUCACGAGAGGAAGAUAUUCUGCUUUCAUUGCUAAUUUUUCAUAGAGGAAAUACUCGAUUCACACUAGGAUGAAAUAUUGAAUCCCUAACGGAACACUGAAACAAAGGUAGCCUUAAGUAUUCUUCCUAAUGUUUGAUUUCAGUCACGAGAGAAAGAUAUUCUGCUUUCAUUGUUAAUUUUUCAUAGAGGAAAUACUCUAUUCACACUAGGACGAAAUAUUGAACCUCAAACGGAACAUGGAAACAAAGGUAGCCUUAAGUAUUCUUCCUAAUGUUUGAUUUCAGUCACGAGAGAAAGAUAUUCUGCUUUCAUUGUUAAUUUUUCAUAGAGGAAAUACUCUAUUCACACUAGGACGAAAUAUUGAACCUCAAACGGAACAUGGAAACAAAGGUAGCCUUAAGUAUUCUUCCUAAUGUUUGAUUUCAGUCACGAGAGAAAGAUAUUCUGCUUUCAUUGUUAAUUUUUCAUAGAGGAAAUACUCUAUUCACACUAGGACGAAAUAUUGAACCUCAAACGGAACAUGGAAACAAAGGUAGCCUUAAGUAUUCUUCCUAAUGUUUGAUUUUAGUCACGGGAUAAAGAUAUUCUGCUUUCAUUCCAUAGAGGAAAUAUUCGAUUCACAGUAGGAUAAAAUUUUGAGCGCCUCACAGACUAUACGAAAGUAAGGAAUCUUUAGUUUUUUUUUUUAAUGUUUGUUUUCAGUCACGGACAAAUAUAUUAUAUUUUCAUGAAAGCAAAACAUAUGGAUUCGCAGUAGGACGGAAUAUUGAACGCCCACCAGUAAUUUAAAAAUAAAAAAGGAUCUUGUGUUUUUUCUCCUAAUAUUCGUUUCCAAUCACGGACACAGAGAUUUUACUUCCAUCAAAAAAAAAACUUGGAUUCACAGUAGGAAGGAAUAUUGAAUCUCCAACAGCCCUUUGAAAAGAAAGGUAUCUUUAGUUUUUUCCUAAUGCUUGUUUUCAGUCGCAGGCAAAGCUAUUCUUCAUUUAUAAAAGCAAUAAAUUUGGGUUCGCAGUAGGAAGGAAUAUUGAAUCUCCAACAUAAUGCUUAUGCUUGAUUUAGUUACUGGAGAAAGGUAAUCUGCUUUCAUUGUUAACUAUCAUAGAGGAAAUGCUUAAUUCACACACAAUAGGAUGAACUUUGAAAAGAAAGGUAUUCUUUAGUAUUUCCCCUAAUGUUUGAUUUCAGUCACGGAAGAAAGAUAUUCUGCCCUCAUUGUCAAUUUAUCAUUGUCAUACACAAUUCACAGUAGGAUGAAAUAUUUAACCCCUAACGGAACACGGACAAAAAGGUAUCCUUAAGUAUUACUCCUAAUGCUUGAUUUCAGUCACGAGCGAAAAUAUUGUGCUGUCAUGGCUUAUUCUCAUUUCAUAGUAGGAUGAAAUAUUGAGCGCCUUACAUACUUUAGAAAAGUAAGGAAUCUUUAGUUUUCCUUCUAAUGUUUGUUUUCAGUUACGAAAAGCUAUAUUAUGCUUUCAUAAAAGCAAAACACUUGGAUUCGCACUAGGACGGAUUAUUGAACCUCCAACAGAAUUUUGAAAAAAAAGGUAUCUUUAGUUUUUCUCCUAAUGCUUGUUUUCAGUAGCGGAAAAAGCUAUUCUACAUCCAUAACAGCAAAAUACUUGGGUUAGUAGUAGGAAGGAAUAUUGAGCCUUCAAAAGAAUGCUAAUGAUUAGUUUUAGUACCUGGGGAAAGAUUUUCUGCUUUUAUUGUUAACGUUUCACAGAGGAAAUAUUCAAUUCACAAUAGGAUAUAAUAUUGGACCUCCAACAGAUUUUUGAAAAAAAGGUAUCUUUAGUUUUUCUCCUAAUGCUUGUUUUCAGUUACUGGAGAAGGAUUUUCCGCUUUCGUUGUUAACCUUACAUAGAGGAAAUACUCAAAUCACAGUAGGAAGAAAUAUUGAACGCCUCACAGAUUUUUCGGAAGUAAGGUAUCUUUAGUUUUCCUUCUAAUGUGUGUUUUCAGUCACAGUCGAAGAUGUUAUACUUUCAUAAAAACACCAAUACGCAAUUCGCAGUAGGAAGGAGUAUUCUACCUUGAAAAGAAAAAUAUCUUUGGUUUUCUCCUGAUGCAUGUUUUCAUUUAUUGGAUAAAGAUAUACUUCUUUCACCGUUAAUUUUUCGAAGAUGAAAUACUCAAUUCACAUUAGGAUGAAUUAUUGAAACCCUAACCGAACACAGAAACGAAGGUAUCCUACAGUAUUCUUCCUAAUGUUUGAUUUCAGUCACUGGAGAAGGAUAUUCUGCUUUCAUUGUUAAUUUUCCAUAGAAGAAAUACUCAAUUCACUACUGUGAAUGAAAUACCAAAUGCCUGACAGUGUUUCGGAUAGUAAGGGAUCUUUAAUUUUCUAUCUAAUGUUUGAUUUCAGUCACGGGAGAAAGAUAUUCUGCUUUCAUUGUUAAUAUUUCAUAGAGGAAAUACUCGAUUCACACUUUCAUGAAAGAAAUACUAGAAUUCGCAGUUAAACUGAAUAUUGAACCUCCCACAGAAUUUCGAAAGUAAGGUAUCUAUAGUUUUCUUCUUAAUGUUUGAUUCCAGUCACUGAAGAAAAUAUUCUGCUUUCUUGUUUUCUGCUAAUACUUGGUUACAGUCCCUGCUAUGAAUUCUAUUUUCGAAGCAUUCUGUCUUCUACCCCAAAAACAAGUGAGAUUAACUUAUUUUAAUAGUUUUAUAAUCUGGAGUAUAGUUUGUAUAUAUAUUUAAUUAAAAUUUUUUUGAACGUUUCGGCUAACAUGAUGACCAAUAAUACUGUGGAAAAUGUUUGGGCCCGACACACACAACAAAAAUUUCUGUUGCAGACAAAUUCUUGUGUGUGUUUCAACCUGGUUGGUGAACAAGCCAAAGGAUGAUUAAUAUAAAUAAAUAAAUAUUCUUUAGAAACUAUUGCGAAAAGCAAAGCAAAUAUAAAACUUGAAUUUGAAGAAGCUCGAGUGGAGAAUAAAUGUGUUACAAGCAACACGUUUUUUUAUUAGUUUUUAGUGUGACAGAUAAAAGGAAAAUUUGGACCAUCCAAGUAUUUCCAAAAGAUAUUGAAGAAGAGAAGCGUCGAGUGUUUUACUCGCAGUCUCCUCAACCCAAAUGUCCAAGAAGAAAAAACGCUGGGACUUCCACAAGACAGAUGUGAGAUCACCAAUAGCCUUUUGUUUCAGGUAGCAAAGAAACCUGAUUGCUAAAGGUUUUGCCCAUCUUAACAUUCAUGAAAUAUGUAUAAGAAGAGAAGCGUCGAGUAUUCCACUCGCAUAGUGUCCACCAAUUUACUAUUGAGGGAUUGCGACGAACUACCGGCUCUACUACGAGCACGCUGCAAUACUUGGAAGGAUGGUUGUUCAAGAAGAAAGAAGAGGACUGCAAUAAGUCGGCUCUCGAAAUGUGAGGACAAAAUGACGACUUGUGUUAUAGGCAUCCCAGUGAACCUGAUCCUCUAAUCCGGAGGGUAACAUCAACUGAAAGAGAAGAUUCUCGUCUAAUUCGCCCACAUCACAGACAUCGGAGGAUAGUUGACCAAGCAAAUAGAAGGGGAUGGCGACCAAUCGGCUCUACCACCAACACGCUGCAAUACAUGGAGGGCUAGUUGUUCGAGCAGAAAGAGGCGGACUACAACACGUCGGCUCUGGAAAUGUGAGGUCAUCAUGACGAAUUCUGUUAUAGGCAUCCCAGUGAACCUGAUCCACCUAUCAGGAUGGUCACAUCAACUGACGGAGAAGAUUUCCGACUGAUUCACCCACAUCACAGACAUCGAAGGACGGCUGACCAAGCAAAUAGAAGAGGAUGGCGACCAAUCGGCUUUACUACCAGCACGCCGCAAUACAUGGAAGGAUGGUUGUUCGAGAAGAAAGAAGAGGACUGCAACAAGUCGGCUCUGGAAAUGUGAGGACAAAAUGACGACUUCUGUUAUAGGCAUCCCAGUGAACCUGAUCCACCUAUCUGGAUGGUCACAUCAACUGGCUGAGAAGAUUUCCGACUGAUUCACCCACAUCACAGACAUCGAAGGACGGCUGACCAAGCAAAUAGAAGAGGAUGGCGACCAAUCGGCUUUACUACCAGCACGCCGCAAUACAUGGAAGGAUGGUUGUUCGAGAAGAAAGAAGAGGACUGCCACACGUCGGCUCUGGAAAUGUGAAGCCAUCAUGACGACUUCUGUUAUAGGCAUCCCAGUGAACCUGAUCCACUUAUCAGGAUGGUCACAUCAACUGGCGGAGAAGAUUUCCGACUGAUUCACCCACAUCGCAGACAUCGGAGGACGGCUGACCAAGCAAAUAGAAGAGGAUGGCGACCAAUCGGCUCUACUACCAGCACGCCGCAAUACAUGGAAGGAUGGUUGUUCGAGAAGAAAGAAGAGGACUGCCACACGUCGGCUCUGGAAAUGUGAGGCCAUCAUGACGACUUCUGUUAUAGGCAUCCCAGUGAACCUGAUCCACUUAUCAGGAUGGUCACAUCAACUGGCGGAGAAGAUUUCCGACUGAUUCACUCACAUCGCAGGCUUCGGAGGAUGGUCAACCAAUCAAAAAGAAGAGGAAUUCGACCAGUCGGCUCUACCACCAUCACUCUGCAAUAAAUGGAAGGAUGGUUGUUCGAGGAAAAAGAAGAGGACUGCAUCACGUCGGCUCUGGAAAUGUGAGGCCAAUAUGAGGACUUCUGUUAUAGGCAUCCCAGUUAACCUGAUCCACCUAUCUGGAUGGUCACAUCAACUGAUGGAGAAGAUUUUCGUCUGAUUCACCCACAUCACAGACAUCGAAGGACGGCUGACCAAGCAAAUAGAAGAGGAUGGCGACCAAUCGGCUUCACUACCAGCACGCCGCAAUACAUGGAAGGAUGGUUGUUCGAAAAGAAAGAAGAGGACUGCAACACGUCGGCUCUGGAAAUGUGAGGCCAUCUAAUAAAUAAGAGAAUAUGCAUCCCUUGUGGACCUGACGGCUGACAAAGCAAAUCGAAGAGGAUGGCGACCAAUCGGCUCUACUACCAGCACGCUGCAAUACAUGGAAGGAUGGUUGUUCGAGAAGAAAGAAGAGGACUGCAACACGUCGGCUCUGGAAAUGUGAAGCCAUCAUGACGACUUCUGUUAUAGGCAUCCCAGUGAACCUGAUCCACCUAUCUGGAUGGUCACAUCAACUGGCUGAGAAGAUUUCCGACUGAUUCACCCACAUCGUAGGCAUCGAAGGAUGGUUAACCAAUCAAAAAGAAAAGCAAUUCGACCAGUCGGCUCUACCACCAGCACUCUGCAAUACAUGGAAGGAUGGUUGUUCAAGAAGAAAGAAGAGCACUGCAACACGUGGACUCUGGAAAUGUGAGGCCAAUAUGACGACUUCUGUUAUAGGCAUCCCAGUGAACCUGAUCCACCUAUCUGGAUGGUCACAUCAACUGACGGAGAUUUCCGACUGAUUCACCCACAUCAUCGAAGGACGGCUGACCAAGCAAAUGGAAGAGGAUGGCGACCAAUCGGCUCUACUACCAGCACGCUGCAAUACAUGGAAGGAUGGUUGUUCGAGAAGAAAGAAGAGGACUGCAACACGUCGGCCCUGGAAAUGUGAGGCCAAUAUGACGACUUCUGUUAUAGGCAUCCCAGUGAACCUGAUCCACCUAUCUGGAUGGUCACAUCAACUGACGGAGAUUUCCGACUGAUUCACCCACAUCAUCGAAGGACGGCUGACCAAGCAAAUGGAAGAGGAUGGCGACCAAUCGGCUCUACUACCAGCACGCUGCAAUACAUGGAAGGAUGGUUGUUCGAGAAGAAAGAAGAGGACUGCAACACGUCGGCUCUGGAAAUGUGAGGCCAAUAUGACGACUUCUGUUAUAGGCAUCCCAGUGAACCUGAUCCACCUAUCUGGAUGGUCACAUCAACUGGCUGAGAAGAUUUCCGACUGAUUCACCCACAUCGUAGGCAUCGAAGGAUGGUUAACCAAUCAAAAAGAAAAGCAAUUCGACCAGUCGGCUCUACCACCAGCACUCUGCAAUACAUGGAAGGAUGGUUGUUCAAGAAGAAAGAAGAGCACUGCAACACGUGGACUCUGGAAAUGUGAGGCCAAUAUGACGACUUCUGUUAUAGGCAUCCCAGUGAACCUGAUCCACCUAUCUGGAUGGUCACAUCAACUGACGGAGAAGAUUUUCGUCUGAUUCACCCACAUCACAGACAUCGAAGGACGGCUGACCAAGCAAAUCGAAGAGGAUGGCGACCAAUCGGCUCUACCACCAACACGCUGCAAUACAUGGCUGGAGUUCCUAUGAGAACAUCAUGUAGAGAGCUUUUCAAAAAAUUUGGUAUUUUGCCAGUGGUAUCUCAAUUCAUCUUGGAAAUUAUAACAUAUGUGAAAACUAAUGAAGGUUCAUUUCUGCGUAUGAAUUACAAUCAUACUUAUUCAACAACACACUCUUCGCUACUAAUCAUACCACGUCACACUCUGGUGGGAUAUGAGAGGUCUCCCAGAUAUAUGGGAAUUAAGUUGUUCAAUUCCCUUCCAAAGACCUAUAGGGAUAUUGAAAGUGUACAAAGUUUCAGAAGGGUAGUUAAUGAUUUCUUAUUGUCUCAAUGUUUCUAUACCCUAUCUGAAUAUUAUGAUUGUUGUAAGCAUAUCAGGUUAGGAAGUUGAUAUGUUUCAAAUAAUGGCUAGUAUGUGAAAUUUUUCCUUCUAUUGUUGUUUUACUGACUUGUCCAAUACGUAUUUGUAAUAUGUCGCUAUGGAUGAAUAAAUUAUUAUUAUUAUUAUUAUUAUUAUAAUCGGCUCUACUACCAGCACGCUGCAAUACAUGGAAGGAUGGUUGUUCGAGAAGAAAGAAGAGGACUGCAACACGUCGGCUAUGGAAAUGUGAAGCCAUCAUGACGACUUCUGUUAUAGGCAUCCCAGUGAACUUGAUCCACCUAUCUGGAUGGUCACAUCAACUCACGGAGAAGAUUUCCUACUGAUUCACCCACAUCACAGACAUCGAAGGACGGCUGACCAAGCAAAUCGAAGAGGAUGGCGACCAAUCGGCUCUACUACCAGCACGCUGCAAUACAUGGAAGGAUGGUUGUUCGAGAAGAAAGAAGAGGACUGCCACACGUCGGCUCUGGAAAUGUGAGGCCAUCAUGACGACUUCUGUUAUAGGCAUCCCAGUGAACUUGAUCCACCUAUCUGGAUGGUCACAUCAACUGACGGAGAUUUCCGACUGAUUCACCCACAUCGUAGGCAUCGAAGGAUGGUUAACCAAUCAAAAAAAAAAAGCAAUUCGACCAGUCGGCUCUACCACCAGCACUCUGCAAUACAUGGAAGGAUGGUUGUUCAAGAAGAAAGAAGAGCACUGCAACACGUGGACUCUGGAAAUGUGAGGCCAAUAUGACGACUUCUGUUAUAGGCAUCCCAGUGAACCUGAUCCACCUAUCUGGAUGGUCACAUCAACUGACGGAGAUUUCCGACUGAUUCACCCACAUCAUCGAAGGACGGCUGACCAAGCAAAUAGAAGAGGAUGGCGACCAAUCGGCUCUACUACCAGCACGCUGCAAUACAUAGAAGGAUGGUUGUUCGAGAAGAAAGAAGAGGACUGCAACACGUGGGCUCUGGAAAUGUGAGGCCAAUAUGACGACUUCUGUUAUAGGCAUCCCAGUGAACCUGAUCCACCUAUCUGGAUGGUCACAUCAACUGACGGAGAAGAUUUCCGACUGAUUCACCCACAUCAUCGAAGGACGGCUGACCAAGCAAAUAGAAGAGGAUGGCGACCAAUCGGCUCUACUACCAGCACGCUGCAAUACAUAGAAGGAUGGUUGUUCGAGAAGAAAGAAGAGGACUGCAACACGUGGGCUCUGGAAAUGUGAGGCCAAUAUGACGACUUCUGUUAUAGGCAUCCCAGUGAACCUGAUCCACCUAUCUGGAUGGUCAAAUCAACUGACGGAGAAGAUUUCCGACUGAUUCACCCACAUCAUCGAAGGACGGCUGACCAAGCAAAUAGAAGAGGAUGGCGACCAAUUGGCUCUACUACCAGCACGCUGCAAUACAUAGAAGGAUGGUUGUUCGAGAAGAAAGAAGAGGACUGCAACACGUCGGCUCUGGAAAUGUGAAGCCAUCAUAACGACUUCUGUUAUAGGCAUCCCAGUGAACCUGAUCCACCUAUCUGGAUGGUUACAUCAACUGACGGAGAAGAUUUCCGACUGAUUCACCCACAUCGCAGGCAUCGAAGGAUGGUUAACCAAUCAAAAAGAAAAGCAAUUCGACCAGUUGGCUCUACCACCAGCACUCUGCAAUACAUGGAAGGAUGGUUGUUCGAGGAAAAAGAAGAGGACUGCAACACGUCGGCUCAAAUGUGAGGCCAAUAUGAUGACUUCUGUUAUAGGCAUCCUAGUGAACCUGAUCCACCUAUUUGGAUGGUCACAUCAACUGACGGAGAAGAUUUCCGACUGAUUCACCCACAUCGCAGGCAUCGAAGGAUGGUUAACCAAUCAACAAGAAAAGCAAUUCGACCAGUUGGCUCUACCACCAGCACUCUGCAAUACAUGGAAGGAUGGUUGUUCGAGGAAAAAGAAGAGGACUGCAACACGUCGGCUCAAAUGUGAGGCCAAUAUGAUGACUUCUGUUAUAGGCAUCCUAGUGAACCUGAUCCACCUAUCUGGAUGGUUACAUCAACUGACGGAGAAGAUUUCCGACUGAUUCACCCACAUCGCAGGCAUCGAAGGAUGGUUAACCAAUCAAAAAGAAAAGCAAUUCGACCAGUUGGCUCUACCACCAGCACUCUGCAAUACAUGGAAGGAUGGUUGUUCGAGGAAAAAGAAGAGGACUGCAACACGUCGGCUCAAAUGUGAGGCCAAUAUGAUGACUUCUGUUAUAGGCAUCCUAGUGAACCUGAUCCACCUAUUUGGAUGGUCACAUCAACUGACGGAGAAGAUUUCCGACUGAUUCACCCACAUCAUCGAAGGACGGCUGACCAAGCAAAUAGAAGAGGAUGGCGACCAAUCGGCUCUACUUCCAGCACGCUGCAAUACAUAGAAGGAUGGUUGUUCGAGAAGAAAGAAGAGGACUGCAACACGUCGGCUCUGGAAAUGUGAGGCCAUCAUGACGACUUCUGUUAUAGGCAUCCCAGUGAACCAGUAAUUCCAACCGGUCAGCUCUACUACCAGCACGCUGCACUACAUGGAAGGAUGGUUGUUCAAAAGAAGGCGAAAGAGGACUGCAACACAUCGGCUUUGGAAAUGUGAGGCCAUCAUGACGACUUCUAUUAUAUUCAUCCCAGUGAACCUGAUCCACUCAUCCGAAGAGUAACAUCAACUGAAGGAGAAAAUUCUCGACUGAUUCACCCACAUCGUAGGCAUCGAAAGAUGGUUGACCACGCAAAAAAAAGAGCAUUGCGAACUGUCGGCUCUACUACCAGCACGCUGCAAUACAUGGAAGGUUGGUUAUUCAAGAAGAAAAAAGAGUAUUGCAACACGUGGACUCUGGAAAAGUAAGGCCAUCAUGUCGAUUUCUGUUGUCGUCAACCCAGUGAACCAGAUUCACUUAUCCGGAGGCUAUCAUCAUCAUCAACAUCAUCAUCUGAAGAAGAGGAUUUUCGUCUAACCCAUCUCCAUCACUGUCAACGAAGGAUGGUUGUCCAAGAAGAAAAGGGGACUGCAUCUCGUCGGCUCUGGAAAAGUAAGGCCAUCAUGACGGCUUCUGUUAUAGGCAUUCCAGUAUACCAGAUCCACUUAUCCAGAGGCUUACAUCUUCUGAAGAAAAGGACUUUCGUCUUACCCACCACCAUCACUUUCAACGAAUGAUGGUCGACCAAGCAAAAAGAAGAGAAUUGCGACUACUAGUAAUACUACUUCUACUACCAGCACGCUGGGAGGAUGGUUAUUCAAGAAGAAGGAAGAGGAUUUCAACACGUCUCCCUGGAAAAGUGAGACCUUCUUGUCAACUUCUGUUCUUGUCAUCCCAGUCAACCAGAUCCACUUAUCCGGAGGCUAUCAUCAUCAUCUGAAGAAGAGGACUUUCGUCUUACGCACCACCCUCACUGUCAACGAAUGAUGGUCGACCAAGCAAAAAGAAGAGAAUUGCGACUACUACUACUACUCCUACUACUACCUGCACGCUGCACUACAUGGAAGGAUGGUUAUUCAAGAAGAAGGAAGAGGAUUUCAACACGUCUGCCCUGGAAAAGUGAGACCAUCUUGUCAACUUUUGUUCUCGUCAUCCCAGUCAACCAGAUCCACUCAUCCAGAGGCUGUCAUCAUCUGAAGAAGAGGAUUUUCGUUUAACCCACCACCAUCACUGUCAACGAAGGAUGGUUGUUCAAGAACAAGAAAGAGGACUGCAUCUCGUCGACUCUGGAAAAGUAAGGCCAUCAUGACGGCUUCUGUUAUAGGCAUUCCAGUAAACCAGAUCCACUGAUCCAGAGGCUUACAUCUUCUGACGAAACGGACUUUCGUCUUACCCACCAACAUCACUGUCAACGAAGUAUGGUUGUUCAAGAAGAAAGAAGAGGACUGUAACUCGUCGGCUCUAGAAAAGGCCAUCAUGACGGCUUCUGUUAUGGGCAUUCCAGUAAACCAGAUCCACUUAUCCAAAGGCUAACAUCAUCUGAAGAAAAGGAUUUUCGUCUAACCCACCACCAUCACUGUCAACGAAGGAUGGUUGUUCAAGAAGAAAAAAGAGGACUGCAUCUCGUCGACUCUGGAAAAGUAAGGCUAUCAUGACGGCUUCUGUUAUAGGCAUUCCAGUAAACCAGAUCCACUGAUCCAGAGGCUUACAUCUUCUGACGAAACGGACUUUCGUCUUACCCACCAACAUCACUGUCAACGAAGUAUGGUUGUUCGAGAAGAAAGAAGAGGACUGCAACUCGUCGCCUCUGGAAAAGGCCAUCAUGACGGCUUCUGUUAUGGGCAUUCCAGUAAACCAGAUCCACUUAUCCAAAGGCUUACAUCAUCUGAAGAAAAGGAUUUUCGUCUAACCCACCACCAUCACUGUCAACGAAGGAUGGUUGUUCAAGAAGAAAGAUGAGGACUGUAACUCGUCGGCUCUAGAAAAGGCCAUCAUGACGGCUUCUGUUAUAGGCAUUCCAGUAAAGCAGAUCCCCUUAUCCAGAGGCUAUCAUCAUCAUCAUCUGAAGAAGAGGAUUUUCGUCUAACCCACCCACAUCACUGUCAACGAAGGAUGGUCGUUCAAGAAGAAAGAAGAGGACUUCAACUCGUCGGCUCUGGAAAAGUAAGGCCAUCAUGACGGCUUCUGUUAUAGGCAUUCCAGUAAACCAGAUCCACUUAUCCAGAGGCUUACAUCAUCUGAAGGAGAGGACUUUCGUCUUACCCACCACCAUCACUGUCAACGAAGGAUGGUUGUUCAAGAAGAAAGAAGAGGUCUGCUACUUGUCGGCUCUGGAAAAUAAGGCCAUCAUCACGGUUUCUGUUAUAGGCAUUCCAGUAAACCAGACUCCCUCAUCCAGAGGCUUACAUCAUCUGAAGGAGAGGACUUUCGUCUUACCCACCACCAUCACUGUCAACGAAGUAUGGUUGUUCAAGAAGAAAGAAGAGGACUGCAACUCGUCGCCUCUGGAAAAGGCCAUCAUGGCGGCUUCUGUUAUGGGCAUUCCAGUAAACCAGAUCCACUUAUCCAAAGGCUCAUAUCAUCUGAAGAAAAGGAUUUUCGUCUAACCCACCACCAUCACUGUCAACGAAGUAUGGUUGUUCAAGAAGAAAGAAGAGGACUGUAACUCGUCGGCUCUAGAAAAGGCCAUCAUGACGGCUUCUGUUAUAGGCAUUCCAGUAAACCAGAUCCCCUUAUCCAGAAUCAUCAUCAUCUGAAGAAAAGGAUUUUCUUCUUACCCACCACCAUCACUGUCAGCGAAGGAUGGUUUUUCAAGAAGAAAGAAGAGGACUGCAACUCGUCGGCUCUGGAAAAUAAGGCCAUCAUGACGGCUUCUGUUUUAGGCAUUCCAGUAAACCAGAUCCACUUAUCCAGAAUCUAUCAUCAUCUGAAGAAAAGGAUUUUCUUCUUACCCACCACCAUCACUGUCAGCGAAGGAUGGUUUUUCAAGAAGAAAGAAGAGGACUGCAUCUCGUCGACUCUGGAAAUGUAAGGCCAUCAUGACGGCUUCUGUUAUAGGCAUUCCAGUUAACCAGAUCCACUCAUCCAGAGGCUGUCAUCAUCUGAAGAAGAGGAUUUUCGUCUAACCCACCCACAUCACUGUCAACGAAGGAUGGUCGUUCAAGAAGAAAGAAGAGGACUGGAACUCGUCGGCUCUAGAAAAGGCCAUCAUGACGGCUUCUGUUAUAGGCAUUCCAGUAAACCAGAUCCACUUAUCCAGAGGCUUACAUCAUCUGAAGGAGAGGACUUUCGUCUUACCCACCACCAUCACUGUGAACGAAGUAUGGUUGUUCAAGAAGAAAGAAGAGGACUGCAACUCGUCGCCUCUGGAAAAGGCCAUCAUGACGGCUUCUGUUAUGGGCAUUCCAGUAAACCAGAUCCACUUAUCCAAAGGCUCAUAUCAUCUGAAGAAAAGGAUUUUCGUCUAACCCACCACCAUCACUGUCAACGAAGGAUGGUUGUUCAAGAAGAAAGAAGAGGACUGUAACUCGUCGGCUCUAGAAAAGGCCAUCAUGACGGCUUCUGUUAUAGGCAUUCCAGUAAACCAGAUCCCCUUAUCCAGAGGCUAUCAUCAUCAUCAUCUGAAGAAGAGGAUUUUCGUCUAACCCACCCACAUCACUGUCAACGAAGGAUGGUUUUUCAAGAAGAAAGAAGAGGAUUGCAACUCGUCAGCUCUGGAAAAAAUCUAUCAUCAUCUGAAGAAAAGGAUUUUCUUCUUACCCACCACCAUCACUGUCAACGAAGGAUGGUUUUUCAAGAAGAAAGAUGAGGACUGCAACUCGUCGGCUCUGGAAAAUAAGGCCAUCAUCACGGUUUCUGUUAUAGGCAUUCCAGUAAACCAGACUCCCUCAUCCAGAGGCUUACAUCAUCUGAAGAAGAGGACUUUAGUCUUACCCA
Harmonia axyridis is the source of this 19868-nucleotide long non-coding RNA. RefSeq lists it as uncharacterized. The transcript has 6 exons. The record is from RefSeq and is a predicted model, not a curated record. NCBI's taxonomy places the organism in Eukaryota, Metazoa, Arthropoda, Insecta, Coleoptera, Coccinellidae.